CUUGCACUUCACUUUUUUUGUUUCAAAUCAAAACAGCGAUCGCGACUUGGACUCGACGUAAAUUUUCACUGUUAGCAACAAGAUAAACCUUGGUAAGAGUAUCUAUCUAGUUGUUGUGGGAAUAUACAUUUGAUCUUGCUAUAUGUUCAAUAACUAGAUCGUGAAAAUAAGUCAAGAAAAAUGGACGAAUUACGGUCGUUUUUCAACGACCCUCGUCCAUCGCAGUCCAACGUGGUAAAACUUAAAGGACCUUUAACUGCCGGUUUUCGUAUCACGAAAGAAGACACCCUAAAUGAGCUGAACCGACGAGAAGAUCAUCGGCACUCAGUUAUUUUGAGCGGCACUGAUUAUGCCCGUGAAGUUAAAGAACGGGAGAUCGCAGCUUAUCUGAAGAAUGAAACUGAACAUGAUCGCUGGGACAGCGUGUCUGAUCGUCUGGAGUCUUUGGAGCACCUGUCCUCACUGGGAACAUCUCUGCCAAACAUUGGAGAGCUGACGGAGGAAGCCAUGACUGAAGUGUACAGCAAGUACUCUUUUCAAAUGAAAGAAGACACUAACAAUUUAUCCAUCAAUGGCUCUAAAACUGAUAUCUUAGAUCGCAUCAGAGGGUUCCCAGUUGUCAUAAUAGAAGGGCCCACAGGCUGCGGCAAGACUACACAAGUGCCGCAGUGGAUCCUGGACGACUGCCACAAGCACCGCAGGGCGUGCAAGAUCAUAGUCACGCAGCCGAGGAGGAUCGCUGCCAUGUCUAUAGCUAAACGAGUAGCGCAGGAGCGGGGGUGGGACGUUGGGGGGCUUGUUGGUUACCAGGUCGGAUUAGAGAAUAAGACUUCUAAUGACACCAGGAUUAGUUACGUCACAACAGGAGUGUUACUGCAGAAAUUGGUAAACGCCAAAACGAUGAACGAAUACACCCACAUAAUCCUCGACGAAGUCCACGAGCGUGGCCAGGACAUGGAUUUCCUCCUACUGGUCGUCAAGAAACUGCUAUACACCGUGUCACCAACAGUCAAAGUGAUACUCAUGUCAGCCACGUUCCAAACGCAGAAGUUUGCCGACUACUUCAUGAUUCCCACGCCCAGAGGGCAGCACAUGGCUUCUUGUGUACAAGUGAAUAAGAAGGAACCGAUGUUCAGUGUGAAAACAUUUUACUUGGACCAGCUGAGUAAAUUUGGCUCGCUAGUAGAAGCCUGCACGCCCAAAGCUCAUGAACCAGUCAUAGUCAGCGAGAUGUACAAUCUUGUAGUGAAACUGGUAAACGCAUUCGAGCAAAUUGACAUGACAGAGGACAAGAUAACCAACCGGUCGGAGGCUGACCUGCCUUCUGUGUUGAUAUUCUUACCGGGUAUACAUGAGAUUGAAGAGCAGUAUGACGCUUUGACCGACUUGCAAGCAAGAAAGAAAAUUUCACCUGAAUGUGCCCGCUACAACUGGUGGGUGCUGCCCCUCCACUCCACCAUCACAGCGGACGAGCAAGUCCGGGUGUUCCAGCGCGCGCCGCCCGGACACCGCAAGGUCAUCCUCGCCACCAACAUCGCUGAGAGCUCCAUCACCGUCCCCGACAUCAAAUAUGUGAUCGACUUCUGUCUCAUGAAGAUCUUAGUAGCGGACUCAGCUACCAACUUCUCAACUCUGAGCCUGAUCUGGGCUUCGAAGAGCAACUGCGAGCAACGAGCCGGUCGCGCGGGCCGUGUCCGCGACGGCCGUGUGUACCGUCUCGUGCCUGCGAAGUUCUAUGACAAGUUCCAACAAGACAGCCCACCCGAGAUCGUCCGCUGCCCUCUGGAGCGUCUCGUGCUGCUAGCCAAGAUGCUCGACAUGGGCCCGCCCAGUGACGUGCUGGCUCUAGCCAUGGACCCGCCCGAGAUGUCCAACAUACAGCGCACCAUGCUUGUCCUUAAAGAGGUCGGAGCUCUAAAGAAGACCGUGGAUGGCGAGUGGUCAUCAUCGGAUGGCGACCUAACCUACAUGGGCCGGAUUAUGGCGCGUCUGCCGCUCGAUGUUAAAGUCUCCAAGAUCAUCAUACUGGGACACAUCUUUGGUUGCUUGAAUGACAGUAUCGUUAUGGCCGCCGCGCUGUCGGUGAAGAAUGUAUGCAGCAGCCCGUUCCGCGAGCGCCUGAACGCCUACAACGCCAAACUGACGUGGGCCGACGGCUCCACUAGCGACUGCGUUGCUUACCUACACAUAUACAAAGUGUGGGACAGAUUCCGCCAACAGCAGUUCUUCAAGCAGAAAGGCAACAGCGAAGUGGCCUGGGCGCGCCGCUUCUAUGUGCAACUGCGGGCCUUACGUGAACUCAACGACAUGGUGCGCGAACUCAAGCACCGGCUCAGUCGUGAGGGCAUCGAACCGCCUAAGACCACGCCUUGGGCGAGGAACCAUCUCGCCUUCGUGCACAAGAUGAUACUAGCGGGUGCAUUCUACCCGCAGUAUUUCGUGCAAGGCUCGCAGAACGAAACUCGCGAGCGAGACGCACUGCGCGAGCUCGGCGGACUUGAUCCACGCACCACAGUGUAUUUGAAGAACUUCCCCGACCACCAGCCCGGUAGUAUCUACGCCGUGGCCAUCCGGAACAAAGUCCACGAGCUGAUCAAAGAAGAGCCGCGAGUCACCUUUGACAAUAACAGCAGGAAAGUGUUCCUGACCUUUUCAAAGGAAGAAUCGAAUAGCCGCACCAAAAAGACAGAUGGAGACCCAACGAUCCCAGGCCAAAUAUUGUUGGCGGUGUACAAGGCUGUGAAAGCGAGAAAUCUGAAGAUGGACAUCAGAAUACCUCUGUUACCACCGGAGGAAGCGAAAGCCCGCGCCGAAGAGAUGUCUCAGAGCCGAUCCGACGUACCCGUAGAGCUACAAGUACCGAGGCUGCCCAGCGUCGACCAGACAUAUUUCCCCCUCAAAGUCGUCCAGUUCACGAGCCCGGGCAAAUUCUGGGUGCAAUACGACGAAGAAACAGCACUAAGCGAGUACAACCAGAUAUACGCCACACUCAACCAGGGCAAGCUGCUGAGUUACACCAACCGCGUGUCUCCAGGGGACCUUGUGGCCGCUCCGUACGACGACCAAGUCGUGUACAGAGCGCGGGUGCAGAAGGUGCUCAAGGAUAUGGUCGAGAUCGCCUACAUCGACUUCGGCACCCUCGCGCGCAUCGCCGCGUCGAGCCUGCGCGAGCUGCCGCGCGGCAGUUGCCUGACCACCCCGCCGCUCGCCAUGCAGUGCCGGCUCGCGGAGCUGGCCCCGGCUCCGCUACUCGACUCGCACGCGGCCUGGUCGGACCGCGCGCUGAACAUGUGCGAACGGUUUAUGCAGCAGCCGCGCCUCAUAGGCAAGAUAUACUCAGUGGCGCACGGAGUGGUGUCGAUCGAGCUGCUGUCCAAGGGUGGCAACGAGAGCCUCAACAAGGAGCUCGUGAAGGCCAGGUUCGCCAUCCCCUGCGAAGAGAGCUACGAGUCCAAGUUGAACCACGACUUGCGUCAAUCAGCGACCGCUCUCAACUGCGAGCUCAGCAUGACGCAGAUCGCCGCCUACAACCGCGAGCAAAUGCAGCUCGCCUUCCACGAGUUGCGCGAGGUGGACUCGCCCGACGCGCGCCACUGCUACACCGACUGCUGCCUCAAGGGGCCCUUCAGUCCCUUGGAGGGAAAGGUCCAUAACCUGAUGUACGGCAGCCGCGAGACGCAAGUACAGAUCGAGUCGAGCUCCAUCAACUCCGUGCUUCUCGACACGGAGCCCCAGCGACUCUACGAAAGGUUGCUGAUAGCCGGUGACGUGGGCCAGAGCGAGCACAGCAACAAGCUGACCCUUCGCCACACGACCCUCAUGCCCAACGUGCCGGGCCUGCCCGCCAUCAUCGCUCUCCUUUUCUGUCCCACGGCGGAGCUCCGCCGCGGGCAGUGCGGCGCGCGCUACUCGGCGGCGCUGUGCGGGCUGGGCGCCGCCGCCAACGGCGCGCCGCUGUUCCCCGAGCACGACCUGCUCGUCAACGUGGACGCCGACCUGGACACCGAGGACGUCAGCAACGUACGUACUCCUGCACCCACACUCAGCACGUUGCCUGCUCACAGCGGAGCUACUCCGCGGCGCUGUGCGGGCUGGGCGCCGCCGCCAACGGCGCGCCGCUGUUCCCCGAGCACGACCUGCUCGUCAACGUGGACGCCGACCUGGACACCGAGGACGUCAGCAACGUACGUACUCCUGCACCCACACUCAGCACGUUGCCUGCUCACAGCGGAGCUACUCCGCGGCGCUGUGCGGGCUGGGCGCCGCCGCCAACGGCGCGCCGCUGUUCCCCGAGCACGACCUGCUCGUCAACGUGGACGCCGACCUGGACACCGAGGACGUCAGCAACGUACGUACUCCUGCACCCACACUCAGCACGUUGCCUGCUCACAGCGGAGCUACUCCGCGGCGCUGUGCGGGCUGGGCGCCGCCGCCAACGGCGCGCCGCUGUUCCCCGAGCACGACCUGCUCGUCAACGUGGACGCCGACCUGGACACCGAGGACGUCAGCAACGUACGUACUCCUGCACCCACACUCAGCACGUUGCCUGCUCACAGCGGAGCUACUCCGCGGCGCUGUGCGGGCUGGGCGCCGCCGCCAACGGCGCGCCGCUGUUCCCCGAGCACGACCUGCUCGUCAACGUGGACGCCGACCUGGACACCGAGGACGUCAGCAACGUACGUACUCCUGCACCCACACUCAGCACGUUGCCUGCUCACAGCGGAGCUACUCCGCGGCGCUGUGCGGGCUGGGCGCCGCCGCCAACGGCGCGCCGCUGUUCCCCGAGCACGACCUGCUCGUCAACGUGGACGCCGACCUGGACACCGAGGACGUCAGCAACGUACGUACUCCUGCACCCACACUCAGCACGUUGCCUGCUCACAGCGGAGCUACUCCGCGGCGCUGUGCGGGCUGGGCGCCGCCGCCAACGGCGCGCCGCUGUUCCCCGAGCACGACCUGCUCGUCAACGUGGACGCCGACCUGGACACCGAGGACGUCAGCAACGUACGUACUCCUGCACCCACACUCAGCACGUUGCCUGCUCACAGCGGAGCUACUCCGCGGCGCUGUGCGGGCUGGGCGCCGCCGCCAACGGCGCGCCGCUGUUCCCCGAGCACGACCUGCUCGUCAACGUGGACGCCGACCUGGACACCGAGGACGUCAGCAACGUACGUACUCCUGCACCCACACUCAGCACGUUGCCUGCUCACAGCGGAGCUACUCCGCGGCGCUGUGCGGGCUGGGCGCCGCCGCCAACGGCGCGCCGCUGUUCCCCGAGCACGACCUGCUCGUCAACGUGGACGCCGACCUGGACACCGAGGACGUCAGCAACGUACGUACUCCUGCACCCACACUCAGCACGUUGCCUGCUCACAGCGGAGCUACUCCGCGGCGCUGUGCGGGCUGGGCGCCGCCGCCAACGGCGCGCCGCUGUUCCCCGAGCACGACCUGCUCGUCAACGUGGACGCCGACCUCGACACCGAGGACGUCAGCAACGUACGUACUCCUGCACCCACACUCAGCACGUUGCCUGCUCACAGCGGAGCUACUCCGCGGCGCUGUGCGGGCUGGGCGCCGCCGCCAACGGCGCGCCGCUGUUCCCCGAGCACGACCUGCUCGUCAACGUGGACGCCGACCUGGACACCGAGGACGUCAGCAACGUACGUACUCCUGCACCCACACUCAGCACGUUGCCUGCUCACAGCGGAGCUACUCCGCGGCGCUGUGCGGGCUGGGCGCCGCCGCCAACGGCGCGCCGCUGUUCCCCGAGCACGACCUGCUCGUCAACGUGGACGCCGACCUGGACACCGAGGACGUCAGCAACGUACGUACUCCUGCACCCACACUCAGCACGUUGCCUGCUCACAGCGGAGCUACUCCGCGGCGCUGUGCGGGCUGGGCGCCGCCGCCAACGGCGCGCCGCUGUUCCCCGAGCACGACCUGCUCGUCAACGUGGACGCCGACCUGGACACCGAGGACGUCAGCAACGUACGUACUCCUGCACCCACACUCAGCACGUUGCCUGCUCACAGCGGAGCUACUCCGCGGCGCUGUGCGGGCUGGGCGCCGCCGCCAACGGCGCGCCGCUGUUCCCCGAGCACGACCUGCUCGUCAACGUGGACGCCGACCUGGACACCGAGGACGUCAGCAACGUACGUACUCCUGCACCCACACUCAGCACGUUGCCUGCUCACAGCGGAGCUACUCCGCGGCGCUGUGCGGGCUGGGCGCCGCCGCCAACGGCGCGCCGCUGUUCCCCGAGCACGACCUGCUCGUCAACGUGGACGCCGACCUGGACACCGAGGACGUCAGCAACGUACGUACUCCUGCACCCACACUCAGCACGUUGCCUGCUCACAGCGGAGCUACUCCGCGGCGCUGUGCGGGCUGGGCGCCGCCGCCAACGGCGCGCCGCUGUUCCCCGAGCACGACCUGCUCGUCAACGUGGACGCCGACCUGGACACCGAGGACGUCAGCAACGUACGUACUCCUGCACCCACACUCAGCACGUUGCCUGCUCACAGCGGAGCUACUCCGCGGCGCUGUGCGGGCUGGGCGCCGCCGCCAACGGCGCGCCGCUGUUCCCCGAGCACGACCUGCUCGUCAACGUGGACGCCGACCUGGACACCGAGGACGUCAGCAACGUACGUACUCCUGCACCCACACUCAGCACGUUGCCUGCUCACAGCGGAGCUACUCCGCGGCGCUGUGCGGGCUGGGCGCCGCCGCCAACGGCGCGCCGCUGUUCCCCGAGCACGACCUGCUCGUCAACGUGGACGCCGACCUGGACACCGAGGACGUCAGCAACGUACGUACUCCUGCACCCACACUCAGCACGUUGCCUGCUCACAGCGGAGCUACUCCGCGGCGCUGUGCGGGCUGGGCGCCGCCGCCAACGGCGCGCCGCUGUUCCCCGAGCACGACCUGCUCGUCAACGUGGACGCCGACCUGGACACCGAGGACGUCAGCAACGUACGUACUCCUGCACCCACACUCAGCACGUUGCCUGCUCACAGCGGAGCUACUCCGCGGCGCUGUGCGGGCUGGGCGCCGCCGCCAACGGCGCGCCGCUGUUCCCCGAGCACGACCUGCUCGUCAACGUGGACGCCGACCUGGACACCGAGGACGUCAGCAACGUACGUACUCCUGCACCCACACUCAGCACGUUGCCUGCUCACAGCGGAGCUACUCCGCGGCGCUGUGCGGGCUGGGCGCCGCCGCCAACGGCGCGCCGCUGUUCCCCGAGCACGACCUGCUCGUCAACGUGGACGCCGACCUGGACACCGAGGACGUCAGCAACGUACGUACUCCUGCACCCACACUCAGCACGUUGCCUGCUCACAGCGGAGCUACUCCGCGGCGCUGUGCGGGCUGGGCGCCGCCGCCAACGGCGCGCCGCUGUUCCCCGAGCACGACCUGCUCGUCAACGUGGACGCCGACCUGGACACCGAGGACGUCAGCAACGUACGUACUCCUGCACCCACACUCAGCACGUUGCCUGCUCACAGCGGAGCUACUCCGCGGCGCUGUGCGGGCUGGGCGCCGCCGCCAACGGCGCGCCGCUGUUCCCCGAGCACGACCUGCUCGUCAACGUGGACGCCGACCUGGACACCGAGGACGUCAGCAACGUACGUACUCCUGCACCCACACUCAGCACGUUGCCUGCUCACAGCGGAGCUACUCCGCGGCGCUGUGCGGGCUGGGCGCCGCCGCCAACGGCGCGCCGCUGUUCCCCGAGCACGACCUGCUCGUCAACGUGGACGCCGACCUGGACACCGAGGACGUCAGCAACGUACGUACUCCUGCACCCACACUCAGCACGUUGCCUGCUCACAGCGGAGCUACUCCGCGGCGCUGUGCGGGCUGGGCGCCGCCGCCAACGGCGCGCCGCUGUUCCCCGAGCACGACCUGCUCGUCAACGUGGACGCCGACCUGGACACCGAGGACGUCAGCAACGUACGUACUCCUGCACCCACACUCAGCACGUUGCCUGCUCACAGCGGAGCUACUCCGCGGCGCUGUGCGGGCUGGGCGCCGCCGCCAACGGCGCGCCGCUGUUCCCCGAGCACGACCUGCUCGUCAACGUGGACGCCGACCUGGACACCGAGGACGUCAGCAACGUACGUACUCCUGCACCCACACUCAGCACGUUGCCUGCUCACAGCGGAGCUACUCCGCGGCGCUGUGCGGGCUGGGCGCCGCCGCCAACGGCGCGCCGCUGUUCCCCGAGCACGACCUGCUCGUCAACGUGGACGCCGACCUGGACACCGAGGACGUCAGCAACGUACGUACUCCUGCACCCACACUCAGCACGUUGCCUGCUCACAGCGGAGCUACUCCGCGGCGCUGUGCGGGCUGGGCGCCGCCGCCAACGGCGCGCCGCUGUUCCCCGAGCACGACCUGCUCGUCAACGUGGACGCCGACCUGGACACCGAGGACGUCAGCAACGUACGUACUCCUGCACCCACACUCAGCACGUUGCCUGCUCACAGCGGAGCUACUCCGCGGCGCUGUGCGGGCUGGGCGCCGCCGCCAACGGCGCGCCGCUGUUCCCCGAGCACGACCUGCUCGUCAACGUGGACGCCGACCUGGACACCGAGGACGUCAGCAACAUCAACCACAUCCGUUACCUGAUGGACUACUCGAUCUACUGUCGCGAGGGGCAAGACACGCCCGCCAUCGAGGACGAGGCACGAGAGAAAGUGCCCUCUACUAUUAAAGAAAUUCUCUUCAAACUAAUGGAGAAGCGUCGUAAGCACCGCGAGCAAGAGGCAAUCCCCAACGCCUGGGAGUGGAACUCUGUGCCCGAAGACGAGCUGCUCGAGAUCGCCGCGCCGGAACUAACGGCUUGCGCGACCGCCUACCCGC
Leguminivora glycinivorella is the source of this 8868-nucleotide RNA transcript. It is a transcript of the gene named probable ATP-dependent RNA helicase spindle-E, with no coding region annotated. The transcript has 26 exons. NCBI's taxonomy places the organism in Eukaryota, Metazoa, Arthropoda, Insecta, Lepidoptera, Tortricidae. The record is from RefSeq and is a predicted model, not a curated record.